UAUGUAGGGGGCAAGCGUUGUCCGGAUUUAUUGGGCGUAAAGAGCGUGUAGGCGGCCAGAUAGGUCUGUUGUGAAAACUCGAGGCUCAACCUCGAGACGCCGAUGGAAACCAUUUGGCUAGAGUCCGGAAGAGGAGAGUGGAAUUCCUGGUGUAGCGGUGAAAUGCGCAGAUAUCAGGAAGAACACCCGUGGCUAAGGCGGCUCUCUAGUACGGUACUGACGCUGAGACGCGAAAGCGUGGGGAGCGAACAGG
This 253-nucleotide ribosomal RNA is filed under the name uncultured bacterium. RNAcentral describes it as "partial 16S ribosomal RNA". It matches the Rfam family "Bacterial small subunit ribosomal RNA", at positions 524 to 776 of the family's 1533-position model. The record is from RNAcentral.